CAUAGAAGGUAUUAGUUAUGUGCCAAAAAAGGUUCUGACGGAGACACGCCAAUGGCCUUGGUUGGAAUGCCGGAAAACAUUCAUCCCGGUGGCGGCUGUGGUGCUGACAGUGGGUACCGUCACCCUCCUGCAGUCUGUGCUUCACGUGGACAUGUGUGCACUAUUUAUGUGGCUAAUAGGCUUCCUUACUGAGGGCAACGUUUACAUGCCAUAAAAAGUCCAUUAGCUGAAUUUAAGCUUCUCCAGAGAUCAUGGGGCCUAAUCUGUACUUGGCAUUUGACGUGGAGGGAAUUGAAAAUCCCAAGGACCCUUUCUGCUGGGCCAUUGCUGGGAUUGAAGAGAGAGCUUCGCUGAACGCGUGAGUAGGUGAAUGGAUGUAUUAGGUACCAAUCCCAGGACUAUCAGGCAGACUCAGAAAGCAGCACAUGGGGAACAUUCUCAGACUUGAUGCAUUAGCUGAUGACCCACAGUGCACCAAGGCUCCCCACUUUCUCCUGGAGUCGGGCCGCCUGUCAAGUCUCCAGCCCCUCAGAGGCUGGCUCUGGGCAGUCAGAUCUGUCUGCAUUUGCCCGAGGAGUCAUCUUUAUGCUCCUCCUGCUUUAGGGCAUUGUUUUGGUGCCAUACUCUGCAACCUCCAGUCUUGGCCCUCUGCCUGUUGUGUUGAACAGGUAGCCUGGGGAGAGGGACCUCCUGAGACAGCAGAAUGAUUUAAAGGCAUUCUGGUGAGAUUAAGCCUGGAAGCAACAAUUCCUUGUGCAAGAUGUGUGAGGGGAAAAAAUUAAGUGUGUCUUGCUCUGGCCUUCAAUUCAUGGAGAGCUGUAUGAAUUAGAACUCAGAUGGCAGAUCAUCAGUGAAAGAAAAUCUUGUUUAAGUAAACAUUUAACCCUUCACUCAUGUCUUCAUGACAUGGAGAUUAAGAGUGUGAACCCUAAUGUAGACUGCUUGGGUCCCAGUGUCACCGGUUACUAGCUGUGUGGCCUUGGGCAAGUCAUUUAAUUUCUCUGAGCAUAAAUUUCCUCAUCUAGAAAAUAGCAUCUAGCUCAUUGAAUUUUGAGAAAUUAAAUAAUGCAUAAAUAAAACACUACCUGCUUUAUCUGCUCGGUGCCCUACCAAAUUUUGUUCUUGCUUUGUAGUUAUAAUUAUUCUAAUGUUAUUCUAAUCCUUGAUUGAUUGUUCACCAGCUUUUUACCUUACUUACUAUGACUAAGCUCCACGUGCAGGGAGCUAUGGGACAAAGAGGGAAGGGUCAGAAUUUCAUUUCAGUUGCAUUAAAGAAGAAUAAACACACAGAAAGUAAAAGUGUGUUUCAAAGCAUAUAAAUUUAUACCAAAAGAGAGAGAUCAUUACUAAUAUUCAUAUUAGCAAGAAUUUCCACAUAGAAUAUAAAAAUGCAAGAGAAUAUUGCUUUCACCCUAACAG
Molecule: long non-coding RNA, 1419 nt
Organism: Sapajus apella (tufted capuchin)
Lineage: Eukaryota; Metazoa; Chordata; Mammalia; Primates; Cebidae
Exons: 3
Source: RefSeq, a predicted model, not a curated record